GCAAUCUACCUUUUACAGAGGGAUAGCCCAGAGAAAUUUGGAUUAAUACCUCAUAGUAUAGCUCUACCGCAUGGUAGUACUAUUAAAGUCACAACGGUAAAAGAUGAGCAUGCGUCCCAUUAGCUAGUUGGUAAGGUAACGGCUUACCAAGGCUACGAUGGGUAGGGGUCCUGAGAGGGAGAUC
This 184-nucleotide ribosomal RNA is filed under the name uncultured Bacteroidota bacterium. RNAcentral's name for it is "uncultured Bacteroidetes bacterium partial 16S ribosomal RNA". It matches the Rfam family "Bacterial small subunit ribosomal RNA", at positions 121 to 305 of the family's 1533-position model. Lineage: Bacteria; Pseudomonadati; Bacteroidota. The record is from RNAcentral.